Molecule: transfer RNA, 74 nt
Filed under: Mustela putorius (European polecat)
Lineage: Eukaryota; Metazoa; Chordata; Mammalia; Carnivora; Mustelidae
Description: tRNA-Val
Rfam family: tRNA
About the family: Transfer RNA (tRNA) molecules are approximately 80 nucleotides in length.
Source: RNAcentral
CAAAGUGUAGCUUAACUAAAGCAUCUGGCUUACACCCAGAAGAUUUCAUAUAUGUUGGCCGCUUUGAACCAAUA